RNAcentral lists this ribosomal RNA (542 nucleotides) under Salmonella enterica. RNAcentral describes it as "bacterial SSU rRNA". It matches the Rfam family "Bacterial small subunit ribosomal RNA", at positions 165 to 702 of the family's 1533-position model. The record is from RNAcentral. Lineage: Bacteria; Pseudomonadati; Pseudomonadota; Gammaproteobacteria; Enterobacterales; Enterobacteriaceae. RNAcentral also lists the same sequence under 1 other name.
AAUACCGCAUAACGUCGCAAGACCAAAGAGGGGGACCUUCGGGCCUCUUGCCAUCAGAUGUGCCCAGAUGGGAUUAGCUAGUUGGUGAGGUAACGGCUCACCAAGGCGACGAUCCCUAGCUGGUCUGAGAGGAUGACCAGCCACACUGGAACUGAGACACGGUCCAGACUCCUACGGGAGGCAGCAGUGGGGAAUAUUGCACAAUGGGCGCAAGCCUGAUGCAGCCAUGCCGCGUGUAUGAAGAAGGCCUUCGGGUUGUAAAGUACUUUCAGCGGGGAGGAAGGUGUUGUGGUUAAUAACCGCAGCAAUUGACGUUACCCGCAGAAGAAGCACCGGCUAACUCCGUGCCAGCAGCCGCGGUAAUACGGAGGGUGCAAGCGUUAAUCGGAAUUACUGGGCGUAAAGCGCACGCAGGCGGUCUGUCAAGUCGGAUGUGAAAUCCCCGGGCUCAACCUGGGAACUGCAUUCGAAACUGGCAGGCUUGAGUCUUGUAGAGGGGGGUAGAAUUCCAGGUGUAGCGGUGAAAUGCGUAGAGAUCUGGA